Molecule: ribosomal RNA, 465 nt
Filed under: Vreelandella stevensii
Lineage: Bacteria; Pseudomonadati; Pseudomonadota; Gammaproteobacteria; Oceanospirillales; Halomonadaceae
Description: partial 16S ribosomal RNA
Rfam family: Bacterial small subunit ribosomal RNA
Source: RNAcentral
CCUACGGGGGGCUGCAGUGGGGAAUAUUGGACAAUGGGGGGAACCCUGAUCCAGCCAUGCCGCGUGUGUGAAGAAGGCCCUCGGGUUGUAAAGCACUUUCAGUGAGGAAGAACGCCUGGUGGUUAAUACCCAUCAGGAAAGACAUCAUUCACAGAAGAAGCACCGGCUAACUCCGUGCCAGCAGCCGCGGUAAUACGGAGGGUGCGAGCGUUAAUCGGAAUUACUGGGCGUAAAGCGCGCGUAGGUGGCUUGAUAAGCCGGUUGUGAAAGCCCCGGGCUCAACCUGGGAACGGCAUCCGGAACUGUCAAGCUAGAGUGCAGGAGAGGAAGGUAGAAUUCCCGGUGUAGCGGUGAAAUGCGUAGAGAUCGGGAGGAAUACCAGUGGCGAAGGCGGCCUUCUGGACUGACACUGACACUGAGGUGCGAAAGCGUGGGUAGCAAACAGGAUUAGAUACCCCUGUAGUC